ACGGGACCGCACAAGCGGUGGAUGAUGUGGAUUAAUUCGAUGCAACGCGAAAACCUUACCUACCCUUGACAUGUCCGGAAUCCUGCAGAGAUGCGGGAGUGCCCGAAAGGGAAUCGGAACACAGGUGCUGCAUGGCUGUCGUCAGCUCGUGUCGUGAGAUGUUGGGUUAAGUCCCGCAACGAGCGCAACCCUUAUCAUUAGUUGCUACGCAAGGGCACUCUAAUGAGACUGCCGGUGACAAACCGGAGGAAGGUGGGGAUGACGUCAAGUCCUCAUGGCCCUUAUGGGUAGGGCUUCACACGUCAUACAAUGGUCGGUACAGAGGGUUGCCAAGCCGCGAGGUGGAGCCAAUCCCAGAAAACCGAUCGUAGUCCGGAUUGCAGUCUGCAGCUCGACUGCGUGAAGUCGGAAUCGCUAGUAAUCGUGGAUCAGAAUGUCACGGUGAAUACGUUCCCGGGUCUU
Molecule: ribosomal RNA, 462 nt
Filed under: uncultured Thiobacillus sp.
Lineage: Bacteria; Pseudomonadati; Pseudomonadota; Betaproteobacteria; Nitrosomonadales; Thiobacillaceae
Description: bacterial SSU rRNA
Rfam family: Bacterial small subunit ribosomal RNA
Source: RNAcentral